GAUGAACGCUGGCGGCGUGCCUAAUACAUGCAAGUCGAGCGAACAGACGAGGAGCUUGCUCCUCUGACGUUAGCGGCGGACGGGUGAGUAACACGUGGAUAACCUACCUAUAAGACUGGGAUAACUUCGGGAAACCGGAGCUAAUACCGGACAAUAUAUUGAACCGCAUGGUUCAAUAGUGAAAGACGGCUUUGCUGGCAGAUAUAGAUGGAUCCGCGCCGCAUUAGCUAGUUGGUAAGGUAACGGCUUACCAAGGCAACGAUGCGUAGCCGACGUGAGAGGGUGAUAGCCCACCCUGGAGCGGAGACGCGCUCCAUGCUCCUGCGGGAGGCACCAGUAGGGAAUGUUCCGCAAUGGGCGAAAGCAUGACGGAGCAACGCCGCGUGAGUGAUGAAGGUCUUCGGAUCGUAAAACUCUGUUAUUAGUGAAGAACAAAUGUUUAAGUAACUAUGCACGUAUUGACGGUACCUAAUCAGAAAGCCACGGCUAACUACGUG
This 497-nucleotide ribosomal RNA is filed under the name uncultured bacterium. RNAcentral describes it as "partial 16S ribosomal RNA". It matches the Rfam family "Bacterial small subunit ribosomal RNA", at positions 28 to 507 of the family's 1533-position model. The record is from RNAcentral.